AUUAAGUCAAUGUUACGCAAAUAUGACUUCAAUAUUGUACAUUAAACUGGAUUUAGACCAAAGUGAUUCUUUAUUAUCCUCUGUACAUCAUCAAAGUAGUAGUAUCUGGUAGUAUCAUUGAAGAUUUCUGUUCUAAUAAGUGUAGUUCCAGUGCUGAAAUUUCCUACAAUAUAGUAUUUAUAUAGGUAUUUAUAAUUAUUAGGUUCGAGAAUUAUCUAGACUUGGUGGUUCAGGAGCAGCACACAGCACAAGGAAAGUGCUUUAUGCGGUUCUGGGCAAUGAAAUUGCACAAAAAUAUUCUUCGGAUGGGGCCAAACAGAAGAGAAGUUUGAAAUCAUUGUUAGUGGCCAAAAGCAAUUUUAGACUCCAUGAAAGGUCAAUUUCAAGAGUCAAAAGAAACCAAAAUUAUCAAUAUAAUUAAAAUAUGGCUUGUAAAAACAAAAGAAAGAUUAAAAAAUACAAAGGUAAGUUGUGCAAAUUUAUUUGAACAGUAUAAUUUUGCUGAUAUUAUUUCA
Sitophilus oryzae (rice weevil) is the source of this 515-nucleotide long non-coding RNA. RefSeq lists it as uncharacterized. NCBI's taxonomy places the organism in Eukaryota, Metazoa, Arthropoda, Insecta, Coleoptera, Curculionidae. The transcript has 3 exons. The record is from RefSeq and is a predicted model, not a curated record.